Leptidea sinapis is the source of this 538-nucleotide long non-coding RNA. RefSeq lists it as uncharacterized. NCBI's taxonomy places the organism in Eukaryota, Metazoa, Arthropoda, Insecta, Lepidoptera, Pieridae. The transcript is spliced from 2 exons. The record is from RefSeq and is a predicted model, not a curated record.
ACUGGGGGCAUUCGUAUUGCGACGUUAGAGGUGAAAUUCUUGGAUCGUCGCAAGACGAACAUCAGCGAAAGCAUUUGCCAAAGGUGUUUUCAUCAAUCAAGAACGAAAGUUAGAGGUUCGAAGGCGAUUAGAUACCGCCCUAGUUCUAACCGUAAAUAUGUCAUCUAGCGAUCCGCCGACGUUACUACAAUGGCUCGGUGGGCAGCUUCCGGGAAACCAAAGAUUUUGGACUCCGGGGGGAGUAUGGUUGCAAAGCUGAAACUUAAAGGAAUUGACGGAAGGGCACCACCAGGAGUGGAGCCUGCGGCUUAAUUUGACUCAACACGGGAAAUCUCACCAGGCCCGGGCACCGGAAGGAUUGACAGAUUAACAGCUCUUUCUUGAUUCGGUGGGUGGUGGUGCAUGGCCGUUCUUAGUUGGUGGAGCGAUUUGUCUGGUUAAUUCCGGUAACGAACGAGACUCUAGCCUGCUAAAUAGGCGUCGUCAUUUAGGUGUGCGCGGCUUCAGGGUCGCGCAACUCACUGGCGGCGUAUUAAAA